CAGUCGCCACGGUAAUACGGAGGGUGCAAGCGUUACUCGGAAUCACUGGGCGUAAAGGACGCGUAGGCGGAUUAUCAAGUCUCUUGUGAAAUCUAACGGCUUAACCGUUAAACUGCUUGGGAAACUGAUAAUCUAGAGUAAGGGAGAGGCAGAUGGAAUUCUUGGUGUAGGGGUAAAAUCCGUAGAGAUCAAGAAGAAUACCCAUUGCGAAAGCGAUCUGCUGGAACUUAACUGACGCUAAUGCGUGAAAGCGAGGGGAGCAAACAGGAUUAGAUACCCCCGUAGUCCCUGUCUCUUAUAC
RNAcentral lists this ribosomal RNA (301 nucleotides) under uncultured bacterium. Its description in RNAcentral is "partial 16S ribosomal RNA". It matches the Rfam family "Bacterial small subunit ribosomal RNA", at positions 509 to 807 of the family's 1533-position model. The record is from RNAcentral.